GGUGCGCGGGACCCCAGUGCGGCUGCGCGGGCCGGGGCCUAUUUCUAUGCGGCCGAUCCGCUCCCGGCCCGUUCCAUUCGGGAACACUCGUGCUGGGAUGCGGCGGGAUCCUCGUCGGAGCGCUGUGCCAGGGACAGCUCCCGGUUCUGCGCGAAUCCUGGGGCGCUCAGGUCACAGGAUAUACUGGGAUUGAGAGGGUUCCUGAAAUCCGACUCUCGAGGACACGGCCCGUGGGAGAUUUGAACUCACAACCUUGGCACUACCUGGACUGUGCUCCGACUGACUGAGCCCUCUGCAUCCCAGCUGCGAGGGGCAGGAGGAGGCCAGGAGUCCCUGAAAGGCAUCCGGCACCUCUUGUCCUUGGGCCCUCGGGGCAGGGGCUGUGCCUGCAGCGUCCUGCCCGUGCCGAGCGCACGGCCCGGGAUGGGCGCUGGGUGCCCGGCCGGCACUGGCACGGACACGGCUCAAGGGCUGCCCGUGGCUCCCGGGCCAGGGGCUGCUCUGAGCAGGCUCCUGGAGAUGCUUCAGCCUGGAUACAGGCCACUGACAGCCCAAAAGCAGCCCAAGGAGCAGCUGGCGUGUGCUGGUGAUGGUGGCACGGGCUGCGUGCAGAGGGGCUCAGACAGCAAUUCCUGGUUCCAGCCUCCCAGAGCUCCCAGGCAGCUGCCAGCUAUUAAAUGCCAACCGACAGCCUGCAGAGAUGCCUUCAAAUCAAAGGUUCAGGUGGGAUGAAGUUUUGUUUGGACGAAGGUGGGAGUUUCCAGGGAGCCAGCUGGAAGUGCAGAAGGGAUGGAAAGCUUUCCCAGGUGCUGGACUUGCCUCUGUGGAUGUGUGCUGAGCUCUCACUACAGGGGACUGUGAGGCCUGACUGGCUUGAGAAGAACACCAACUUGCAGGCAUCAAAAGCUCCAAACUCGUUUAAUUGAGCUUGAAGAAACUUGAAGAAGGAAUUUGGAUGUAUAAAAACAAGCUGAGAAGAGCAUCAGUGUGUUCACUGGCAGCACGGGCUGGGAUGAGGGCUGAGCAGGACCCAAGCUGCAGCACAUCAUCCAUUCAGCUUUCACCACCUGUUUUAUCACGGCC
Molecule: long non-coding RNA, 1083 nt
Organism: Oenanthe melanoleuca
Lineage: Eukaryota; Metazoa; Chordata; Aves; Passeriformes; Muscicapidae
Exons: 7
Source: RefSeq, a predicted model, not a curated record